AUGAGAUCCAAGCAUCGGCAGCGGAGAGGAAGGGGGGAGAGCCCCACUCACGGGGAGACAGGGGAGGGGAGAGGGAGAGCAUCUUCACGCGGAGAGGAGAGCGGCCGGCCGCCGGCCAACGGGGCAGGGCUGAGGACGGGCCUGCCGAGGCGAGGAGGAGGGGAGGAGGGGAGGGGGGAUGAAAGAGGAGCCAUCUCCGAGGGAGUAUGUAUUAGGACCGCACACAAUGUUUGUGUUAUCCAUAGGUUUUUUUUACCAUUGAUUCGUUUUGAAGUCAUUAUUUCGAAAUGCAACAGCAAUUCGGAAUUUAUUUGCAAGAGAAGGGACAAUUUCACAUCCAUACAUUUGCAUUUACUCGUCAAAGUGAAACAAACUGAAAAAGGACAAAAAGGGUAA
RNAcentral lists this ribosomal RNA (396 nucleotides) under Triticum aestivum (bread wheat). Its description in RNAcentral is "partial small subunit ribosomal RNA". The record is from RNAcentral. Lineage: Eukaryota; Viridiplantae; Streptophyta; Magnoliopsida; Poales; Poaceae.